This 460-nucleotide ribosomal RNA is filed under the name uncultured bacterium. RNAcentral's name for it is "partial 16S ribosomal RNA". It matches the Rfam family "Bacterial small subunit ribosomal RNA", at positions 338 to 795 of the family's 1533-position model. The record is from RNAcentral.
CCUACGGGUGGCAGCAGUGAGGAAUAUUGGUCAAUGGACGAGAGUCUGAACCAGCCAAGUAGCGUGAAGGAUGACUGCCCUAUGGGUUGUAAACUUCUUUUAUAUGGGAAUAAAAUGUUCCACGUGUGGGAUUUUGUAUGUACCAUAUGAAUAAGGAUCGGCUAACUCCGUGCCAGCAGCCGCGGUAAUACGGAGGAUCCGAGCGUUAUCCGGAUUUAUUGGGUUUAAAGGGAGCGUAGGUGGAUUGUUAAGUCAGUUGUGAAAGUUUGCGGCUCAACCGUAAAAUUGCAGUUGAAACUGGCAGUCUUGAGUACAGUAGAGGUGGGCGGAAUUCGUGGUGUGGCGGUGAAAUGCUUAGAUAUCACGAAGAACUCCGAUUGCGAAGGCAGUUCACUGGACUGCAACUGACACUGAGGCUCGAAAGUGUGGGUAUCAAACAGGAUUAGAUACCCGUGUAGUC